CCCACUUCAACAAGAAGAAUUCCAUUUUGUAGCCCUGAACCAGAUCAGGAAGUGAUAAAACAGAAUCCAGAUGCCAACCAGCCGUGCCCAUGAGAAAUCAAUCAUAGACGAGAGAAGCUAUUUCUG
RNAcentral lists this long non-coding RNA (126 nucleotides) under Salvator merianae (Argentine black and white tegu). Its description in RNAcentral is "lncRNA (ENSSMRG00000010250.1)". The record is from RNAcentral. Lineage: Eukaryota; Metazoa; Chordata; Lepidosauria; Squamata; Teiidae.